ACGGCUACAUUCUUCCCUCUCUCUCUCUCGUUGCUUUCUCAUUGCCUCCUACAAACCAAACUCCCUACCCUCCAUAAUCUCGUUCUCUCUCUCUUUCUCUCUAGAAUUCUGAGUGCAAUACGUGUUUUUCCCCUUUGUAAUAGCAACAGUUACUUUUCCUCUCGUGGUCUCUGAUUGGCUUGGCUUGGCUUCUGAAUAUUCUUCUUCUUUUUCUUUUUCAUUCAGUUUCAGUUUCAAUGGAGACUUUGCCUGCCUUAAACCAAAAAGAUCGAAGAACGGCUCAGUUUCUGAUUUCUCAGCUUCGAUCAGAUUAUUCAAUUUGUCCUUUUUUUUUAAUUUUUUUAAAGGAUAAAAAGAAUUAUUAAUUACUUUUGGAUAUAUGAUAUAUUAUUAUUAUUAUUAUUAUUAUUAUUAUUAUUAUUAUUAUUAUUAUUUUUUCCCCAAUCGUCGAGUAAAAAAAAUUAUUAUUUGACCUUUGGAAUUGGAAAUGAGAGUAAUUAAUUUUGUGUUAAACCCAGGAGUUAGAGGUCUUGUCAACCCCUUUAAUCCUCUCAACGGCUAGUUUGAUGAGCAACGGUCAAAUUUUAAAUUUGAAAUGUAUAGUACAGCUCUUCCCAACGGCUAGUUUGAUGACAACGGUCAAAUUUUUACUCUAAUGCAUAGACAACUUUAGCUCCUUUUCCGAACAAAUAGAUGGGUCGGAGUGGUUUCUUUUGCGGUGGAGAUUUCCAUCCAGUUAAUUUUCCGCCAUUUCUUUAAGUAAUUUUCUCUCUUGUUUUGUUAAUUUUACUUCCUUUCCGUCGACUUUAACAUUCUGGGUUUCCGUUAUUUGACUGAAAAUGGUAAAAGUAACAGAAAAAACACAAACGGAAGAAAUCGGGCUUUCUGAGAGGAAAGGUGGAGAUGGAGAGUGGGUCCGAAGGUGAACCAUUCGAAGAAAUGUCUGUGAGAAAAAAGUUUCCUAAGAAGAAAUGCUAUGGAAUCAGCAGAUGACAAGGAAAGGCUGAAACUGAGCCAAGAACUGGGUCUCAAACCGUGGCCAGUCAAGUUCUGGUUACAAAACAGGCGAAGCCAGAUGAAGGUGCGCACCUUAGCAGCAUUCCCUCUUCCUUUUUCACUCUUUCAUGUUAUCCCUAAAAAACGAGUUCCCUAGCUAAUAACCUGUUAAUUUAAAAGGAUUAAGAAAUUCCAUUUA
Molecule: long non-coding RNA, 1195 nt
Organism: Ziziphus jujuba (common jujube)
Lineage: Eukaryota; Viridiplantae; Streptophyta; Magnoliopsida; Rosales; Rhamnaceae
Exons: 2
Source: RefSeq, a predicted model, not a curated record